This 1728-nucleotide long non-coding RNA is filed under the name Anas platyrhynchos platyrhynchos (common mallard). RNAcentral's name for it is "lncRNA (ENSAPLG00000029409.1)". Lineage: Eukaryota; Metazoa; Chordata; Aves; Anseriformes; Anatidae. The record is from RNAcentral.
AUGGGACCCUGGAGUGCUCCUAUUACCCUACGCUGGCUCAGCAGUGAGUGCUUAAAAGAAACAAGAACAACCCAGUGGCAGCAGUCCAGUAGUCCUCUUGUUCUAAUUUCCUUGUCUUCAAGAGAGGAGCUGUGGUCUACGGUUCUGGAGGAUCUGAUUUGGUUCAAGGAAUCCUGCGGAUCUGGACAUAGGGAAUGGAGCCAGAGUGAACUAGUGGCAGUCACUGCAGUUAUUGUCAGGAUCAAGAAGAUGAAUUAUAGUUACCCAAUGGUAAUACCAAGCUGAAUUGAACCAAGGGUAGUCUAAAGUGUAGCUUUUUACGCAGAGGGACAAUACAAACCUGAACACCACACACCAGAAAGCAGUGUCGGAGUUCAUGUCGCUGAUAUUACUUGCAUUAAAACACACUGGAGCAGAGCUGUAUGAUACAUAUGUUGCUGGACUGAAACAGAUGUGAAAAAAGAGCCAACCUGAGAUAACUCUGUGGGCCUGUGGGUGCAAUUCUUUAGUAACUAAAUUGUAGCUCAGUAAAGCAGAUAGCAUUAGGAAUGCCGUUAUGGCCAUACUUCUGUUAUACAGUAGAUUUUGCUCCUUUUAUUGACUGUAUGGCUCAUAAAUUUGUACAUUUAAUAGAAAUAUGAUUUUGUACCUUCUUUCCUCACUCCUCUUUUCCCCAAGUACUUCCAGCUCUCAGUUUUCUGAAGGCUGGAUAAGACAGAAAUGUAGUAAAUAUGAAUAACAGACAAUAUAACUUAGAAAACUGUAAUGCAAGAUAUGAUUGGGAAAAGGAGGAAACUUAAUUGGCCAUGUAGUGCAAAGAUCCUUCAGCUGACUCAAGCUGGUAGGCUUUAAAAGUGCUGGAGAGACUACGUUGCUUUUAGACUGAGGCUGGCCCACUCAAGACACUUCAGAUGACUCUGCAUCCAACAGCAGUGGUUGACCCCCAACCUAGAUGAAGUCACCAGAGGCAUUCUUAACAGCUGGAUCCCUGUUCCCAAAGAUUUUCAGUGCCUGUGACUAAGGAGGAGCAGAGAGAUGAUUUAAUUUCUCAGUCCAGUAGCAUGAUUCUCUGUGGGGACUCCAGUAAUUUUUCUUUUAGGAGAGAUGCCUUAGCAGACUGCACCUCAUCUUUAUUGUUCCAAUGCUUGUAUUAACUAUGUUUAUAUAUUGCAUCAUUAACUCACCUAAGUAUCUUUGGAUUUUUAAUUGCCUUUGUGCUACAGGGAUAGAUGAAUGAAUUUCUGGGAAAAGUUCUGUAAUCUGUCCUGCACAAGGAUUACAGCAAUACAAUCUUUGACAUAAUCAUUUCAUCACUGGCCUUCUCUGAGUUUCUGAUGUAUCUUAUGUUUCUUCCCCUUAUGUCUUAUGUUUCUUCCCCUUAUGCCUUUUGUUAACAGUACACAGAGCAGAUUGCUGUGUAGGACAUGACACAGUAGUGUUGCAGAGAACAUGAAAUCCCCACAAGACUGGGUUAGGAUAGACCUUCUGAAGUGUUGUGUGACCGUAGCACCUAUAUGACCAAAGGGUAGCUGCAGGAAGAGUGUUAUUGCAGCAACAUGGGGAUUUGGGACUGCUCAGACCUGUAAAAGCAGUCUCUAGGCAGUGCUCAGAAGGCUGUUGUAAACAAUAAUGCUUCCUAGCUGCCUGUCAGUGUAACAAGGUGCUGAAGAGCGACCUGUGCUUUUGUGCCUAAAUAAAGCAGAUACACAAGGGAAAGUGAAAAAUCCA